This 662-nucleotide ribosomal RNA is filed under the name uncultured bacterium. RNAcentral describes it as "bacterial SSU rRNA". It matches the Rfam family "Bacterial small subunit ribosomal RNA", at positions 379 to 1060 of the family's 1533-position model. The record is from RNAcentral.
AACUCUGAUGCAGCGACGCCGCGUAGGGAAGACGGUCUUCGGAUUGUAAACCUCUGUCUUUAGGGACGAAAAAAUGACGGUACCUAAGGAGGAAGCCACGGCUAACUACGUGCCAGCAGCCGCGGUAAUACGUAGGUGGCAAGCGUUGUCCGGAAUUACUGGGUGUAAAGGGAGCGUAGGCGGGGAGACAAGUUGAAUGUUUAAACUAUCGGCUCAACUGAUAGUCGCGUUCAAAACUAUCACUCUUGAGUGCAGUAGAGGUAGGCGGAAUUCCUAGUGUAGCGGUGAAAUGCGUAGAUAUUAGGAGGAACACCAGUGGCGAAGGCGGCCUACUGGGCUGUAACUGACGCUGAGGCUCGAAAGCGUGGGUAGCAAACAGGAUUAGAUACCCUGGUAGUCCACGCCGUAAACGAUGAUUACUAGGUGUGGGGGGACUGACCCCUUCCGUGCCGGAGUUAACACAAUAAGUAAUCCACCUGGGGAGUACGACCGCAAGGUUGAAACUCAAAGGAAUUGACGGGGGCCCGCACAAGCAGUGGAGUGUGUGGUUUAAUUCGAAGCAACGCGAAGAACCUUACCAGGUCUUGACAUCGAGUGACGAACUUAGAGAUAAGUUUUUCCUUCGGGACACGAAGACAGGUGGUGCAUGGUUGUCGUCAGCU